This 2462-nucleotide long non-coding RNA is filed under the name Rattus norvegicus (Norway rat). RNAcentral describes it as "long non-coding RNA NONRATT024987". The record is from RNAcentral. Lineage: Eukaryota; Metazoa; Chordata; Mammalia; Rodentia; Muridae.
UGUAAAGACCUACUGUAAAGCCUAUUUAAAAAUCUUUGUGCAUUUAUGGAUAUUUCUUUUGUUGUCAUUGUCCUAAAUUAUCAUAGCUGGAAAGAGAGAGGGGGGACUUAUAUUUCUAACAAUAAAUAAUGUAUCUAGGGUCAAUGAGGUGGCUCAGUGAAUGAAGAUGCUUAUAGCAUAAACCUGAUGACUAGAUUCCACAGAUUUGACCUCUGACCUCCACACAUGUGUCCUAGCAUACAUAUGCCCAGCAUAUAAAACACACAAAUAACAUAAUAAUGAAUUAAGUCAAAUAAAAAUAAAUGAUUUGUCUAGAUAAAAGGAUGCAAAUUAUAGUAUGGAAAGAUGCUACUGUAUUUUUUUUCUCUUUUUUAACAAAACUAUACCCAAUUUUAGAGGCACUCUCACAAGACCCUUGAGAAAGAACUUUUAGUUUCUUGGUAUCUUGGUUUUGGAGGUUCCGGUAUUGUUGUGGUUUUUAGUUUCUUUUGUGUUGUUUAACAUGUACUUCUUGACAGAUUGCAUACUGUCUGUUUCAACUUGCCUGAUCUGAUACAGACAGCAUGGCUACAAGCCUUUACCUUGCUGUCAUAUUGAAGAGUCUCUUCCAGGCCUUUGGAUUGUGUGUUGCUCAAGGUAAUACUGCACUUAACUGUGGAGACUUUGUUUUCUCAAGGGUUAAAAGCUAAACAUUAAAAAUAAAAAAUGCUUGUUCCUCAUAAAGCAAUGAGGCGAGCUAUAUAUGCCAGAUACUGCAGUGCAUGGAGUUUUCAGAUGCCUGGGGUCUUCAGAACCCUUUCCUUCUUUGCUCUCCACUGAGUCACCUGUUUACUUGUGACGUAGUCUCUAAUGCAGCAACAUGAGAUGACUUUAGAUUAUUAAUGCUGAUUUAAAUAGCUUAAGUUCUCCUAAUAACGCAUCCCCUGAGAAAGCACAUUUCUAUGGAAUAGCAUAGGUAUAAUGUCAGGAAGAGGAUGGGAUUUGCUGCAAAAAAGUGUAAGAAUCCUCUUGGGUAGAUUAUCCAGGUGAAGAACAUACUGUAAAAUGUACAUAGAGGAUUAUGAAUGUUUACUAUACCUUACAUUUUUCUUUAGGUGUCUUAUAAUUUUUUUUUUAAAAAAAGUCAGGAACCUGCCAUCUGCUGACUAGUGGAACUGUCUGAUUCGUAAAAAAUAAGAAUAAAAAGAAAAAGCGCCCAAAGAACACUCCAAAUUGGUCUCAUUUGCAGACUUUAUCUCAGAAAACAUGAAUAUUUGUCUUCUAGAACUGGGUUCUAGUUUCAGAGAGUUAAUAUACAGAGUUGAGAGAAAUAGUCUAACUUCCCCGCACAAGUCAACAAUAAAAUUGCUUGUUAGAUACCUGACAACCAACUUUGGGGCAUCUGUUUCUGAACAGGCAGAAGCAUACUGUGAAAGCGGAGUCUUCCCCUUUUAGUUGUUUUCUAUGAAUGUAAGUGCCCUGUACCUGCCCUCUUUCCAUUCUCUCUCUUGAUCACUUUUGGCCUAAAUCUUGUUGGAAAUAGUCUGAACUAAAAGAAAAGCCCACCUGGAGCUCUGCUAGCUUCCUCUACUGAUCAAUCAGCAUCUAGGCCAUCACCAUGACCUUGGUCUGUGAUCCAUCUUGCUUGUCUUCCACCAAACACAUGGACUAUAACAGCAAUUGCUGCCCCUUUUCAGCUGUCCAGCCUCUUGCAGAGAAACCCCUGAUGACACAUGUGAAAUCCAUUGCAAUCCUUUUGUAGAAGGUGUUGCAAUAUAAAACGCUAUUACAGUGUAACUGGCAUGAAUUUGCUAAGAGGACUCCUGUCAUAAGGGACCAAGUCAUUUGGUUGAGCUUGCUAGAAGACGUACAGUGUUGAUUUUAUUUCUGCACUUCAUUAUGAAUUUUGGAAAUGCGGUCUUUCUCUGAAGGACUUUGUGAAUUGUAUUGCAUAAAAUUAUAAUGCAUAAAAAUUAUAAUGCAUUAAAAAGGGAACUUGCCAGCAUUUCCACUUCUUCCUGGAAUGUUGCCAUAGUGUUCUUCACUAGUAUGAUUAGCUAUCUAUGUCCAGGCUCUAUGCAGUUAUUCAGGUUGAUGUUUCAUUUUAAAGAAUGUACUUGUAAAAUGUAACAAGACCAGUAGCUAACUUUUUUUAAGGUCUGGUAGAAGUAAUAUUAUGUGUUAGACUUAAAAUUAUAGUGAAAUCUGUUUUAUACUAUUGUGACUAGCAAAGAUUAUGCAUUUAUGUAGAAACAGUUACAGAGUGCCCUAUAUAAGAGAUACUAGUUAAGAUAGGUUUCACUCCUAAUUAUCAGAAUUGUGAUGCUGCUAAUGUGUGUUGUUCUUGGUUUUUCAGAAAUUCUCUAUGAUACUGAGUACAGUACCAUUUUUGUUUCAUUCAGAGACAAGUUAACAACUGUUCUGUUGGUUCACUCUUAUAGCAACUUGGAUUUUGUCAUUAAAUAUUUUAACUCUCUGGUGAA